This 256-nucleotide ribosomal RNA is filed under the name Proteus mirabilis. RNAcentral describes it as "partial 23S ribosomal RNA". It matches the Rfam family "Bacterial large subunit ribosomal RNA", at positions 1088 to 1343 of the family's 2925-position model. The record is from RNAcentral. Lineage: Bacteria; Pseudomonadati; Pseudomonadota; Gammaproteobacteria; Enterobacterales; Morganellaceae.
GACAGCCAGGAUGUUGGCUUAGAAGCAGCCAUCAUUUAAAGAAAGCGUAAUAGCUCACUGGUCGAGUCGGCCCGCGCGGAAGAUGUAACGGGGCUAAACCAUGCACCGAAGCUGCGGCAGCGACACAAAGUGUUGUUGGGUAGGGGAGCGUUCUGUAAGCCUGCGAAGGUGUACUGUGAGGUAUGCUGGAGGUAUCAGAAGUGCGAAUGCUGACAUAAGUAACGAUAAUGCGGGUGAAAAACCCGCACGCCGGAAG